AAAAUUAGUUUAUAUUAAAAAUAUUAAUCUGUCAGAUUAAUGAUACUUUUGGGUAUUUUUCU
RNAcentral lists this transfer RNA (62 nucleotides) under Tettigettalna argentata. RNAcentral's name for it is "partial tRNA-Asp". Lineage: Eukaryota; Metazoa; Arthropoda; Insecta; Hemiptera; Cicadidae. The record is from RNAcentral.